Molecule: long non-coding RNA, 13815 nt
Filed under: Ananas comosus (pineapple)
Lineage: Eukaryota; Viridiplantae; Streptophyta; Magnoliopsida; Poales; Bromeliaceae
Description: long non-coding RNA (ACOM_LNC011987)
Source: RNAcentral
CUGAUUGUGCCGAGGGCACGUUACUUGUUGGUUGUUAGACCAGUUAGAGUCGAUUUCUUGACUUUGGCUUUUCAGAGCCUGUUUGAGCUCGACAGAGAUACGCUGCAUACUCGGUUGGGUAGCGCCCACGAGUGCCACUCCGGAGUCAGGCUUUGUGCUUUCGCGUUGGUGUCGCUCAUGCCAGUUGGACUUGCUCUCCACGGACCAGUUAGUGUGGAUAGAGCUUGAUAGUCGCAACGGGGCAGGGACGGGUGUAUUCACAGUCCCGGGGACGGGUAUGCUUACAGUCCCGAUUGGAUUGGGUCAGAGUUGACAUUUCCUACAGUUGGUUAGUGUAGAGCAUGAUAGUGUAGUGAUCGAUAGCGGUAGAGUUUAUUUCCUGCUUUUCUGACUACUCUUGCUCCCUUCUGUAGACUUAGUGGGUGGACCGAUGUUGUUUUGGGCGGUACCCACUGAGGACUACUUGUUUUUACAGUAGUUCUCACGCCCAGUUGUUACCUAUGUUUUUGCAGAGCCACAGGUUCCGGCUGCUGCACCGUCCGCGGAUCAGGAUCGAGGCAAGGGCGUCGCGAGUUAGAGCCCUACCCGACGUGCUGAGCUAGAGGUGCCCCUACUGCAGGUAGAUGUUUUGUUUCGAGUUUAUGUACAUAGUGGACUUAACUCGCCAGUGCGAGUAGCUUUGUAUUUUGGAUUUGGACUAUGUAUAUGAAACUCAGUUUGUUUAGCUUCUGUUUUCUCUAGCAGCUCUCUACUACUGUUCGUAGUAGUGUUUGAUUUACAGGUACAGCUAUCGCUUCGUAUACAGGGAAAAUUUCUUUGUAUACGGCGGAUUUGUCGGCGUGCCCGGGGAACGUGUAAUCCGGGGCGUGACAGAUUAAGUUGGUAUCAGAGCUUUGCUGUAGGUCGUUGGGACCUAGGAAACCUAAGUUUGGCAAACCUUAGGGAAGCAAGACGUGAGAGGCGUAAUUUUAUUGCGAAAGUCAAUGAUUAUUUGUUCUAACUCCUCUUAGAGCAGAGUGAGUGACUGAAGGAGUUUCUGUUUCGGCCUGAGAAAUUAUGUUGGCUGCAGACGACAUAAUUUUGGAGGGAAACAGGGACCGCCUUCUAGACUUUCGUUUGAUUGGGUCGAGAGUGUUUUGUUGUAUCUGACCCCGAUUUGUUCCUUUCAGCUAUGUAUCGUCGCCGAGGUCGACCGUCGUUGCGGGAGCGUGCCCAGUUGGCGCGGGAUCAUGCUGGACCUUCUGAGAGAUCUGAGCAGAUGGAGCAGAGUACUCGGCAGGAGCAGGGUGACAGACUGGGGGCGAGUGUACCCCCUGUUGUGGAGCCGAGUGCGCGACCAGAGACUAGCGCACCCCCUGAUCUGAGUGCACAGUUAGCUGCCCUGACCGAGGUGACGAGACAGCAGGGGGAGCUAUUGCAGAGGUUGUGUGAGAGGAUAGCUCAGCCACCGAGUUCUGUACCGAGGGCACCAGAGUCGCCAGUUCCACCCCCGACUACUCCAGUGACAGCACCAGCUGCAGCAGUUCCUCCAUCGGCAGCAGUUCCAGUAGCGCCAGUUGCGCCUGCUAGGGGGCCAGUACCGUUGACUGAGGCCGAGCAGGAGCGGUGGACGGAGAGGUUAGCUCGUUUUCGCCGAUUUGAUCCACCGAUCUUCGAUGGCAGAGGCACUGAGGCCUGGAUUGUUGAGGGAUGGGUCAGUGCGAUGGAGAAGUUAUUCGAGGAUCUGUUCGUUCCAGAGUGGGAGCAAGUACCUUUGGGAGUACACUGUCUGUCUGGUGAUGCACAUGAUUGGUGGCGUAGAGCGAGGCGAGACCAGGGACUGGUGGCGACACAGUUGAGGUGGGAUGAGUUCUGUGGAAUGCUGUAUGGGAUGUAUUUCCCCAACAGCAUGAAACAGAAGAUCGAUGAGGACUUGAAGAGGAUCCAGUAGGGUAGCGGACAGUUCAGGAGUAUGUUCGGGAGUUUACUAGGCUCCUGAACUGUGUUUCGUUCGUGGCCAGAGACGAGGCACAUAGGGUCUACUUGUUUGAGCAGGGUUUAAGACCCGACCUUUUCAGGUUCGUUAGGGCGCAGAGGUCGAGAACUUUGGAUGCGUCCAUUGAGCAGGCAUUAUGGGAGGAGAGAGGAGAGGUGUCGCUGCGGGAGAGGGCUCAGGGGCCGGGACAGAGUCAGGACAGGAAGCGCCCAGCUCCAGACGNUUUAUUGCGAAAGUCAAUGAUUAUCUGUUCUAACUCCUCCUAGAGUGGGGUGAGUGACCGAAGGAGUUCCUGUUUUGGCCUGAGAAAUUAUGUUGGCUGCAGACGACAUAAUUUUGGAGGAAAACAGGGACCGCCUUCCAGACUUUCGUUGAUUGGGUCGAGAGUGUGCGUUGUAUCUGACCCCGAUUUGUUCCUUUUAGCUAUGUAUCGUCGCCGAGGUCGACCGUCGUUGCGGGCGCGUGCCCAAUUGGCGCGGGAUCGUGCGGGAUCCCCUGAGAGACCUGAGCAGAUGGAGCAGAGUACUCGACAGGAGCAGGGUGGCAGACCGAAGGCGAGUGCACCCCCUGUUGUGGAGCCGAGUGCGGGACCUGUGGCUAGCGCACCCCGGGAUCUGAGUGCACAGCUGGCUGCCCUGACUGAGGUGACGAGGCAGCAGGGGGAGUUGUUGCAGAGGUUGUGUGAGAGGAUAUCUCAGUCACUUAGUUCAGCACCGAGUGUACCAGAGCAGACUGUUCCACCACCGACUACUCCAGUGACCGUACCAGCUGCAGCAGUUCCUCCGUCGGCAGCAAUUCCAGUAGCGCCAGUUGCGCCGGCUAGGGGGCCAGUACCGUUGACUGAGGCCAAGCAGGAGCGGUGGACGGAGAGAUUAGCCCGUUUUCGUCGAUUUGACCCACCGAUCUUCGAUGGCAGAGGCACUGAGGCCUGGAUUGUUGAGGGAUGGGUCAGUGCGAUGGAGAAGUUAUUCGAGGAUCUGUUCGUUCCAGAGUGGGAGCAAGUACCUUUGGGAGUACACUGUCUGUCUGGUGAUGCACAUGAUUGGUGGCGUAGAGCGAGGCGAGACCAGGGACUGGUGGCGACACAGUUGAGGUGGGAUGAGUUCUGUGGAAUGCUGUAUGGGAUGUAUUUCCCCAACAGCAUGAAACAGAAGAUCGAUGAGGACUUGAAGAGGAUCCAGUAGGGUAGCGGACAGUUCAGGAGUAUGUUCGGGAGUUUACUAGGCUCCUGAACUGUGUUUCGUUCGUGGCCAGAGACGAGGCACAUAGGGUCUACUUGUUUGAGCAGGGUUUAAGACCCGACCUUUUCAGGUUCGUUAGGGCGCAGAGGUCGAGAACUUUGGAUGCGUCCAUUGAGCAGGCAUUAUGGGAGGAGAGAGGAGAGGUGUCGCUGCGGGAGAGGGCUCAGGGGCCGGGACAGAGUCAGGACAGGAAGCGCCCAGCUCCAGACGACGGAGGUCAGUCGAGUAGCAGGCGUCCGCCGAGGCCUCCACGAUCGCAUUCACAGGGUCGUGGGUUUUCGGGGCGUCAGCGGUCCAGGGACUCUCGUCAGAGGGGACAGCCAGAGAGGACGCCGCAGUGUGUGAUCUGCGGAGGACCACACUGGCCCAGACAGUGCGAGCAGAGGGAGGGCCGGUGCUACGGAUGUGGUCAGCCGGGACACAUGAGGGCAGCUUGUCCCCAAGCAGCAUCUCCAGCACCAUCGUCAGCUUCAGCUCCACCAGCACCUCAGCAGACUUACAGAGCAGCGCCGAGUUACCGCCAGGAUGAUAGAUCAUCCAUGCCGCGACAGUGUGAGCGGCGACAGCAGGCUCCGAGUGGCAGAGUCUAUGCAGCACAGGUGGAGGACUCUACGGCAGCCAACCGAGUGGUGGCAGGUAUCACUUUGAUUUUCGGCAUUCGUACUCGUACUCUUUUUGAUACUUGAGCCUCGCAUUCUUUUGUUAGCCGAGCAUUUGUAUUGUUGCAUGGUCUAGAGUUAGGGGCAUUGUCACAGGCACGAGAGGUGCAGAUUCCGGUCCAUGUUUUACAGGUUGCAGAGUGUUGUUGGUCAUGUCCGGUGCAAUUGGAUUCGUGGGUUAUGCCCGCAGACCUGUUGGUGCUAGGGCAGCUGUAGGACUUCGACGUUGUGCUCGAUAUGGAUUGGCUGGCGCGGUACUAUGCUACGAUUGAUUGUGGAGCGAGGACGGUGACGUUCCACGAGCCAGGCCAGGAUGAGUUCACUUUCAGAGGCUGCAGGAGUACGUUGUUUGCCACCUGGAUCUUUUCGGCGAGGCUCGACAGAUGCUGAGUAGCGGGUGUAUUUGUCACGCCCCGAGGUCCCUUUUAAGUUUGGAAAAACAGCGGAAACGACUAAAUUUUUUUUUUGAAGCACCUGAUCCCAGAUAUUGUCAGAUCCGCCACAAAUACAGAGAAUCCACUAUUCACACGGACAGAGUCUCCCCUGUAUUUGCACGGCGUCGCACAAGUACAAAAGUACAAACAGUAUACAACCACAACUAAAUGAAUAUACAGAUAGCUAUACGUUCAUACAUUUACCAUUCACACCGUAGUUUUACAUUCGAUGUUUAAACAAAAGUCCACGAAAAACCUUUUAAAAACUGUUCCAUACGCGAAAACUUUUAUCUUUUAUAAAGGCUACCACGAGGGGUAGAAAACCUUUUAUUUUACCAAAUCCAGAAAUUCUUUUAUUACAUUCAUGAAAGUCCACAUAUUCUAAUGUAAUAAAAAUACUGAACCAUAUAAACUGACUAAGCUAUAACAACAGAAUAGUAGGGAUAAAACUAAACCGAUAAUCUGGGUCGGAAGCUCUAUCGACCGCUACGAACGUACCUCACGGCUCGUCCCAAAACUCAACGUCUGCAACACCUGAAAAAUAGUGGGGGAGGUGAGAACAUGUAAACAUGUCUCCCCUCCCAGUGGGUACCGCAAGCCGAAGAAGGCGAGGAGUACUCACCGGAUCAGGAAGAGAUAAACAACAGUAUGGGUAAGUAAAAUACAGUAGCAACGAUAAUGAACGAAUGAGAUAUAUAUAUGAAAACACAACUACCGCUACUGUAAUGUACAACUGCAAGCAUACAAGGAUAUCAAAACUAUAGUAGCAAGACAACUGUAAAGAAAGAACUAGAAGUAUAUAUGCAACAACCGCUACUAUAGCUAUAUGCGUCAACCGGACGAGAAGUCCAAAAGUACCCAAUCUAAACCGCCGUGUCGGUCUAAGGACCUCAGGCAAAAGCCACUACCUGCUCACACCUGGCAUGUAACCCUAGCACAAAGAGAACACCGCUGGGCUCACGGGUCGGAUGUACGACCACUUUUCCGGAAAAGAACACCCUCCUGCGGGGGAUCAACCCGCUGGUGUACGUGAAAUGCACUCGAGCUGUGGCGAUCAAUGCGGAUAUGAUCAAUAGCCAAAUGUCGGCAACCAGCCAACAAUCACCGCCCCUCGGGGCAAGCCGACCAAUAGGUCAUCAAACUAUAAAGAAGCACAAGAACCGACCACUCAAGUCAACUAGGAUGGAACGACUCUACAUCCUCUCAACUGUAUGUAAGUACUGACUAAUCAAGUCAACUGGGAUGGAACAACUCAACAUCCUACCAAAAGUAUGUAGAUACUGAUCAAUAGGUCAACUACUGUAUAUAUGCAAGAAUCGAUCAACAAGUCAUCUGAGUAUAUAAUCUAGAACUACCGUCGGCCAUGGCCGACAAUCCUACCCCUCAGGGUACACCGACCUCAAAGGUCAUCAAACGACAGAAGUCAAGAAACAGACCAACCCAAUACAUAAUGCAACAACCGACCAACCAGGUCAACAGAUAUAAGAUAAAAGCACCGAUCAACUAGAUCACCGAAACGAAGUACGAGAACCGACCAAUCAGGUCACCGAAACAAAGUACGAGAACCGACCAAUCAGGUCACCGAAACGAAGUACGAGAACCGACCAAUCAGGUCACCGAAACAAAGUACGAGAACCGACCAAUCAGGUCACCGGUAUCACAUAUGGAUAAACUACUCUACUCCUACACAUGAUACUAAGCAUAGAAACAUAUAAGUAGAGUAUAAUAGAAACAACGGGGAUGCAAGCUCAAAAUAUAAUACGAAAAUAGCAACAGAAGAAUAGGGAUAGAAGAAAUAUCACCGAGCGUGCACCACUGUACCGACGUCGGAUCGAAGUACCUACCUGUAUAAAGCUGAAACGGUCUCGCGAAGGCGGAGACGAAGCGACCGGACCUACGAAGGGUCCACCGGGUUAGAGUCUAACCCACAAACACAAUAACACGACCAUUCUCACACAAAUCCCAAAAUCAAAACCCCUCGGAACUCGGUUUCUCAAACGCAACUACCGAACCAGCCGGAAAUCCCGGAAACCGUACCGAAACUCCACCGUCGCUCACCCGUCGUUUCCGAACCCUCGAGAAGACGCGGGUGACCAGCCAACCAGGCUCAACGACGCUACAAUCAACCACGAGGCACCGUCGGAUGAAUUCCGAGUCGAACGCGCGUUCUAUCGGCGGAUUUCACCGAAAACGCUCCGGAAAUGACAGAUAGAUUUCCGCAAGGGCUUGGGGCCUUGGACGAUCAGUCCAGAGGUUACCUUAAGCCUUAACCUGCUGCCAACAGCAGCCACAACGAAGCGAAACGCAAAAGGAUCCCUAAUGGCCCCUGAAAUCACAUUAUUUUAUGUGAUUUCAUGGCUCUAACGGGUCGUACCAGCAAACCAGGGAUCUAUGGAGGUUGCCAUCGCACUUGCUGCAAGGUUUCAGCAUGCCUGAGGCCGUGCUCACCUUUCGGAGCACUGCCGGCAGCAACCACGCGCGCACGAGCGACGCGAACCUCAGCGAAUCAGUGCGCAUACUGUGGAAAACAGCCUUUUCUCACUAACCAGGGCACCGUUAACCUAAAUGGAGGCGAGCAUCGUGUUCAGCACGAGCCCACGAUCACCGUGCUCACCUCCCGAGGUGCCAGGGAGUCAUCGGAUCGCCGAAAAAGUGACCAGAACGCAAAACAGCAGUGCUGGAACCAAAGUAAACUACUCACCGGAGCUGUGGGAGCUAGGGAUGGCCGCCGGCGAUCGGGCGGCGGGCGCUCCGGCCGGUGAUGGCAGCAGCAAGUCGGGGAGGUCCGGGGGAGGUGCUGGACGGCGGCGGGCAGCAGCCGGUGGCGCGGCGGCGGAGAUCGGGCCCGCACACUUCCUCUCGGGCUGGAGCUUGCCUGCGGCGAGGCGGCGACCGGGGGAGGUCGGGGCGGCGAUGAUCCGGUGCCUGAGACCAAGGGGGAGGUGGUGCUCACCUCAGAGGGCAACGGCAGCGCUCGGGAGUGGCACGGCUCCAAGGUCGGCCCGCACAGGACCCGAGCGGCGGCGGGAGACCUUGGCGGCGGCCGGCGGGGCGCGGGGACGGCCGGGGACGCGCGCGCCGGGUUGCUGGAGGUCGCCGGGGUCCUCAGGGGGGCUUGGCCGCAGGGGAAGUGCGGUCCCAAAGCCCGCAACCUGAGGUCGGCCUGGCUCGGGUCUGGGCAGACCCGGCUGGCUAUAGCCUCUUCCGGCGGCCCCGGGGCUGCUCGGCGGCGGCCGGAACACGAGCACGGGCAGGACAGGGAGGUGCUGGGAUGGCAGGGGCGGCUGGGGUUAGCUGGGGGGUUCUAGGGUUAGGGUUAGCUCAAGAAACCCUAGGACAAACUAUAUAUAGGUGCGGAAAACUCGCGGAAAACCCCCUCGAAAGGAAUCUAAUUAAUCCGAGCUCUCAACCAGCAGUCGCAUAACGCACGAUAGUCCCUCUAAGAUCGAAAACUCGCAAUUCGACGCAUAAAAUAUAGGGCCUUUUCGCGAAUAAUCCAAUUACUCAAAUCAGCCCCUUCGCGGACUUUUCGCGAUUCCCGAAGAUCCGUCCGUCGGAUUUCCGAUCGGAUCGCACCAGCGCGAUCAGCACGACAGAGGCAUCGAAUCUAGCAUUUCGUUUCGCCCGAAAAGGUUCCCGAUUUGCGACAAAACCAUCCCUCCUAGGUUCCACCAAAAACCACAUAUAGACAACUAUAUGUAAAAACCAUUAAACCCCUUUUUCUCGAAAUCCGUGCAUCCAAAUCCAAUUCCGUCAGUGCCAUUGGGUCCAGGAUAGUUGAGCGGUUGAAAACGAGCUAUUGGAAUGCUAUAUUCGGAGUCCGAUACGCGUCGAAAGUCCCCUUUACUCCGCGGCCUCUCCGGAAAACCGGAGUUACUAUUCACUUAAGUCAGACUUCCGGGUCGCGUAACUUCUCCGUUUUAACUCGUUUUCUCCUGAAAUUUGACAAGUACACUUAUAAUUAUAUUACACACAAGAACAUCGUCAAACAAAAGGGUUUAAUCAAUAAAUCAAAAAUCUCAGUUAUUACAGUAUUGCUUUCUUAGCGACAGUUGUGGAGGUACCUACGGCGGCGCCGGGACUUGAGGACAUUCCAGUAGUCCGCGAGUUUCCCGAUGUGUUUUCCCCUGAGUUGACGACGUUGCCGCCGGAGAGGGAGAUUGAGUUUGUGAUUGAUGUAGUUCCUGGAACUGCACCAAUCUCAAAGGUACCUUAUAGAAUGGCGCCGGCAGAGCUGAGAGAGCUGAAGGCACAGCUUCAGGAUUUGGUGGAUAGAGGGUUUGUGAGACCCAGUGUGUCGCCUUGGGGAGCGCCGGUGUUGUUUGUAAAGAAGAAGGAUGGUUCGCUCAGGUUAUGUGUGGAUUACCGGGAGCUGAAUAAAGUGACCAUCAAGAAUAAGUACCCCUUGCCGCGCAUAGAUGAUUUGUUUGAUCAACUGCAGGGAUCUUAUGUUUUCUCGAAAAUUGAUCUCCAGUCAAGUUACCACCAACUGAGGGUGAGGGCCGAGGAUGUUCCCAAGACGGCUUUUCGGACUCGGUACGGGCAUUAUGAGUUCACGGUGAUACCUUUUGGAUUGACGAAUGCCCCUGCCGCAUUUAUGGAUUUGAUGAACAGAGUGCUCAAGCCGUUCUUGGAUAGAUUUAUGGUAGUCUUCAUGGACGAUAUCUUGAUACACUCCCGGAGUGAUACUGAGCAUGAGGAGCACUUGAGGAUUGUGCUACAGCUUCUGCGAGAGAAGAAGCUGUAUGCCAAGUUGAAGAAGUGCGAGUUCUGGCUACGGGAGGUUGCUUUCUUGGGCCACAUGAUUUCAACCGAGGGCGUAGCAGUGGACCCGAAGAAGAUUGAGGCAAUUCGAGAUUGGCCUAGACCGACGACGGUUACUGAGGUACGGAGCUUCCUGGGACUCGCAGGAUAUUACCGUCGGUUCGUGGAAGGCUUGCGAAGCUUUCCACACCCCUUACAAGCUUGACUCGGAAGGGGAUUCGUUUUGUCUGGAGCGACGACUAUCAGAGGAGCUUUGACGAGUUGAGACUGAGGUUGACAUCGGCUCCUAUCCUUGCCCUUCCUGUUAUGGGUGAAGGAUUUGUGAUCUACAGUGAUGCAUCGCACAGUGGACUUGGUUGCGUGCUGAUGCAGCAUGGUAGGGUGAUUGCUUAUGCUUCACGGCAAUUAAAGGAUUAUGAGAAGAAUUACCCUACGCAUGACUUGGAGCUUGCCGUAGUGGUUUUUGCUUUGAAGCUCUGGCGGCAUUAUUUGUACGGCGAGCACUGCGAGGUCUUCACCGGUCAUAAAAGUCUCAAGUAUCUGUUCACACAGAGGGAGCUGAAUCUGAGACAGCGCCGGUGGUUGGAGUUACUGAAGGACUAUGACAUUAGUAUUCAGUAUCAUCCUGGCAAGGCGAAUGUGGUGGCAGAUGCGUUGAGCAGGAAGUCAGUGCAGAGCCUGAGUUUGAGGAUUACUGAGCAGAGGCCCCUACUCGAGGAGCUACAGCGGCUGGGACUCGAGAUAGUACCCCCUGGGUCUACGGCGAGGCUGACAUCUCUUGUGUUGCAGCCCACUCUGUUGGAUAGGAUCCGUGAGAAACAGAGUGGAGAUCCGUAUUUGUUGAGGAUUAGAGAGCAGCUAGACAGGGGGAAGGAUGAGGGAUUUGCUUUGGACAGUGCGGGAGUACUUAGGUACAGGGACCGACUGUGUGUACCUGUGGAUCCUGAGAUUCGAGCGGAUAUUCUGAGAGAGGCUCAUUGUUCUCCUUAUACAGUUCACCCUGGGGGAACCAAGAUGUAUAAGGAUCUUAAGGCACGGUUCUGGUGGCCUGGAAUGAAGAGGGACAUUGGCAGAUAUGUGGCUCAGUGUUUGACUUGCCAACAGGUAAAGGCCGAGCAUCAGAUGUCUGCUGGCAAGCUUCAAAGUCUGCCAGUGCCCGAGUGGAAGUGGGAGUACAUCACUAUGGACUUUGUCGUUGGAUUGCCUAGAGCGCAGGGUGGCUACGACGCGAUUUGGGUGAUAGUGGACAGACUGACCAAGUCUGCUCACUUCCUACCGGUUCAGACUACCUGGUCCAGAGAGAGACUCGCGCAGCUAUACUUAGAUGAGAUCGUUAGGCUGCACGGCGUGCCAGUGUCGAUUAUAUCAGACAGAGACCCGAGGUUUGUAUCACAUUUCUGGAGGAGUUUGCAGACAACCUUGGGUACACAGCUGCAUUUUAGCACGGCGUUCCACCCACAGACAGAUGGUCAGUCAGAGAGAACCAUACAGACUCUAGAGGACAUGCUGAGGGCAUGCGUCCUGGAUUUUGGAGGAGGGUGAUAUCGACAUGUGAGACUGGUUGAGUUUGCGUACAACAACAGCUAUCAAACAAGCAUUCAGAUGGCUCCGUUUGAGGCGUUGUAUGGACGCAGAUGUCGAUCCCCCCUGUUUUGGAGUGAUGUGGGUGAGCGGAGGACACUUGGACUAGAGAUUUUACUUGAGGCUGAGGAUAAGGUGAGAGUCGUUCGACGACACCUUUUGACAGCACAGAGCCGACAGAGGAGCUACGCCGAUACCAGGAGACGAGACUUAGAGUUUCAGGUUAGAGAUCUUGUUUUUCUCAAAGUCUCGCCGUCUAGAGGGAUACGCCGCUUUGGAGUACGUGGAAAGCUUAGUCCACGGUUUGUUGGCCCUUUCGAGGUAUUGGAGCGUAUCGGACCGGUGGCUUACAGGAUAGCUCUACCCCCGCGACUUGCUGGCAUCCAUGAUGUUUUCCACGUCUCAGCACUGAGGAGAUAUGUUUUUGACCCCUCUCACGUGAUUGACUUCACUCCACUCGAGAUUGGCGAGGAUCUGAGAUACGAGGAGCGACCGUUGCGGAUUCUUGCUCGAGAGACGAAAGAAUUGCGCAACCGGGUCAUCCCGUAUGUGAAAGUGCAGUGGAGGCGUCAUGAUGAGCGGGAGGCGACUUGGGAGCCUAAAACGGUGAUGAGGGAAGCCUAUCCCUAUUUGUUUGAUGCCUGAGCAGAGGUAUGUUUCAGUUUCGUGGACGAAACUUUUCGUAGUGGGGGAGGAUGUGAGAUCCCUGGUGUUCAGCUGUGGAGGCUUAUCGGCAGCUCUGGAGAGUGUCGGGACAAGUUCGAGUCGCGUUGGCGUCAAAUAGACGUAAAACGGGCUUCGUGCGACGCGAGGGCAGUUUUUAGCGAAGAAAAUCUGCAAUUUGCUCAUUUACUGCUUGCUGUACUGGUACAGCCAUCGUGGUGUACCGGUACACUACACAGAUUACGCGCAUACUGCUCUCGGGUUGGCUUCCUGUACCGGUAAGCAAUCCCGUGUACCGAUACACCAGGGUAGGUGAGAGGGUGUUUUGGUCUUUUUCUACCUCGUUCGUAUCACCCUCCUCUCCCCAGCUUAUUUACAUGUAAAGUGAGGCUGAGAGAGAGAGUUUUGCUCUUGGUUUCCUCCCUUUCUCUCUCUAAAGCCGAUUGUGGGCAAGGUGGAGCUCGGGUGGAGUUUCGUCGCCGACGUGGUGCCGCGGAGCCGUUCGAGCGCACGUUGUGUCGUCUUGGUGCUGUGAGGAGCUCGGGCGAGCGUAGAUUUCCGUCGUCCUCGACAUUGCGCCGAUUCUUGAGGAUCUAUCGAGGUGAGUGCUCUGUGGAAUUGCUGCGCAUACUUCGGGUAUCAUCAAUUCGAGCUUAAGUGCUGAUUCGCAGGAUUUUGUCGUCGACUGUUAGUAUUUCAGCUCGUUCUCGACGUAGGAGCAUCGGAUUGCGACGAUACUUGGUGCAUUGGAUUCGGGACUUCGAGAGGAAUCCACGAAGCCCUUACUUGCGAAUUUUGGUGAAGGUUAGCUUGGUCGAAAUCCUUCUCUUCUCUGCUGCUGUGGAUUUUGGGACUGAAUUGGUGGAUUUUGAUCGUAGAGCUUGGAGUUAGCUCGAGUGCUAGACUUGGAGGGUUCCCGUUGAUCCAGCAGGGGUCACUUUGGUUCGAGGCCUUGUUCGCUGCCAGGAGCUAGCUUCUUGAGGUGGGUUACAUCGGUUUUGACUCCUAAGUUCAUAAUCGUCAACAUGUAUAGAUCUCGAUUUUGAUAAUUUAUUCUAGCUCGAAUUCAUGGAUUAUAUAAUAGAAUGCAAAUCUGAAUUUGGAGCAUGUGGUAAUAAAUUAAGUAGAUUAUAUAUGUUGGACUUGGAAACUGAAUUAGGAGAAAACCUGCGAUUUGGACCGUCACUUGAUUAAACUGCUUGAUUUAGCUCUAGGAGCCGUUAUUAUAUUGUACUGUCGCAGUAUCUUUGAGUCGAGUACUCCUGAUAGUUUAGAAUGUAUCUACACUCGUGCUGGUUCGCCGAGGGGAUUUUACAGGGUCGUUCAGGCUGUUCCGGACUGUAGGGUGCCGUUGAGAUUGACGGUGGACCCGUAUCGUCUUUUUGGCGUCUGAUUGUGCCGAGGGCACGUUACUUGUUGGUUGUUAGACCAGUUAGAGUCGAUUUCUUGACUUUGGCUUUUCAGAGCCUGUUUGAGCUCGACAGAGAUACACUGCAUACUCGGUUGGGUAGCGCCCACGAGUACCACUCCGGAGUCAGGCUUUGUGCUUUCGCGUUGGUAUUGCUCAUGCCAGUUGGACUUACUCUCCACGGACCAGUUAGUGUGGAUAGAGCUUGAUAGUUGCAACGGAGCAGGGACGGGUGUAUUCACAGUCCCGGGGACGGGUAUGCUUACAGUCCCGAUUGGAUUGGGUCAGAGUUGACAUUUCCUACAGUUGGUGAGUGUAGAGCAUGAUAGUGUAGUGAUCGAUAGCGGUAGAGUUUAUUUCCUGCUUUUCUGACUACUCUUGCUCCCUUUUGUAGACUUGGUGGGUGGACCGAUGUUGUCUUGGGCGGUACCUACUGAGGACUACUUGUUUUUAUAGUAGUUCUCACACCCAGUUGUUACCUAUGUUUUUGCAGAGCCACAGGUUCCGGCUGCUGCACCAUCCGCGGACCAGGAUCGAGGCAAGGGCGUCGCGAGUUAGAGCCCUACCCGACGUGCUGAGCUAGAGGUGCCCCUACUGCAGGUAGAUGUUUUGUUUCGAGUUUAUGUACAUAGUUGACUUAACUCGCCAGUGCGAGUAGCUCUGUAUUUUGGAUUUUGAACUAUGUAUAUGAAACUCUGUUUGUUUAGCUUCUAUUUUCUCUAGCAGCUCUCUACUACUGUUCGUAGUAGUGUUUGAUUUACAGGUACAGCUGUCGCUUCGUAUACGGGAAAAAUUUUUUUGUAUACGGCGGAUUUGUCGGCGUGCCCGGGGAACGUGUAAUCCGGGGCGUGACACUGACACUGUACAUUUUCUGUUAAUUUAUCUGUCCCGUUUCUCACAGAAAAUUCUAAAUCUUCUGUUUUCGCUCCGAUUUCAGCACAGGUCAUUCCCAACCUAUAUUUCACUUCUCUAAAUCCAAUAAAAUAGUAUUUCAUACUAUUUUAUUUAUUUUCACUUUUAUAUUUAAAAUCCAGUAUGUUACAUUCCACCGCAACCUCACCGGAACCAUUUAAAUGUACACCGUGACUUU